Molecule: long non-coding RNA, 5029 nt
Filed under: Lactuca sativa (garden lettuce)
Lineage: Eukaryota; Viridiplantae; Streptophyta; Magnoliopsida; Asterales; Asteraceae
Description: long non-coding RNA (LSAT_LNC001539)
Source: RNAcentral
GAUCAGCUGAAAUGGAUGCCACAUCAAGCAAAGCAGGUGAAGGCAACGAAUUGAAUGAAUACGAGAUCAAAGAAGGUUGGAUCAUCACUGUCGCAUUCGUUAUGCUUUCCCGAUUUAGCAUCAUGCGAAAGUAAGCUGUCUCAUCUGGACUGUUAUUGAACACCUUCAUUCGCAUUUCAUUCCACAAAUUAAAACUAUAUUAUAUUUAAUGUUUGUUUAUUGCAAUUUCUAAUCUAUUAGAUCAAUAAUUAAAAUUAAUUACCUGUACGAAUGGAGAUCUCCUUAGAUUGAACAUAAAUUGAGGGAACAAAGAAAAAUUAGGGUUUAACGAAAAUGAAGUCGGAUCAUCUUUUCUGUAGUCGCCAAAUCUAGAACAUAGACGGAUCAGAUUUCUAUCUAACCACCUUGUUGCAUCGAAUGUUUCCUAACAAAAAUAUAAAAACGUAACAAAAACUAUUCCCUAUAACAAUUGAAUUAUAAUUUAUAAUUUAUAUACCUCGGUUUCCAUUUUAUAAGAUGUUAAUCUAGCCAUUACUACAGCAGCAGUCUCUUGAUCAAAACCUUGCAUUAAUUCCUGUAAACGAGAAUUAAAGAUAAAAAACACAUUGUAUUUUGUUUUUUACACAAUAAACAAGAGUAAAAAUAAUUUAAAUAUUUAAUAAUACCUCUGAAACUGCUGAACCCUCUAUCCAUCUUCUUGUAAUGGUAGUAACUCGAAGCUUUGAUUGUCCAUCAAUACUUUGGUAGCUGAAUCAAUAUUCAGUUAUAGCAAUUUUCAUGAGUGUAAUAAGGUAGAUUUUUCUAUAUACAAUGUCUAAUUUAUAUACCUUGUAAGUGUUUGUAUAUACAAUUGUGGAUUUAAGUUUCCAGAAUGAUCUGGUUUAUCACUUGAAGAAAUGUCAAAUAAAACAGUCAAACAAGUGUCGUUAUCAAGUCCACACAGCUUCCAUGCAUUAGUGUUCCCUUGACCAAUUGUUGUGCUUGCAACAGCAGGUCCUUUCUGCAUUUUUUUUUAAAAAACGUUACAAUAUUUUUAAAGAUAAUAUUAAAAGUUAUAAAAUUUAGUAAAACCAAUACCUUCUCAAGAGAUGUGCAAGGUCCAAUAAUCCCUUGAAUUUUUAUAUCUUUUGAACAGUUCAUCUCAAGUGUGCCACUGCAAGUAAUAAACUAGUUAUGAAUUUAAUAAGAUAGAAAAAAAAAAAAACGUGUCAUUUACUUAUCUUGACAAAAAGUUUUCUGAUAAUAAACUAUUUUCAAAUGAAUAUGUGAAGGAUGAAAUACUCACUUAUAAGAAAGACCAAGAGAAUCUUCUCUGUUUUCAAAAACACGUUUAAAUGAAUCUUUAAAAACCGAAUGACCAAAACUUUCUGAUAGAACAACAAGGCCUCCAGUUCUUUCAAUAAUAACCUUCAUCUCUGCAACCCCAACCUAAUAACAUAAAUUGCAUUAAAUGCUAAAGGAUAUGAACAAAAAAUUACAUUUUUAAUGUGAAUGAGUUUUUUUAUAGAAUUAAAGAAACAUUUUGUUGCAUGAAUGUAAAGACUAGGGUAACCAUUUUCUACCUGAUCUAGUGCAGAAGCAAAAAGGUCCAAAACAUGACCCUGGCUAACCAUCUGCUUUGAAAGUUCCUCAUAAAAAUUGACUGCUUUUCUAAAGUAUAAUGCUGAAUCUUUAUCUAAAUCUUUAUGCGAUCGAACUGGAUCAGAUAAAUCUUGUGAGACAAUCUGUCAAAAUCCAAAUGCGAAAAAAGGUUAAGAUCUUGUGAGAUAAAAAUGGCAACGGAAACCAUCCAUUUGAAUGAAAUGUGAAAACAGAGUUUUUAUUGAGCGUCAAUGGCGUAUUUGCGAUCGGAAGGGAAGAAAAAAGUAGCAGAACUUACAGAACCAUUGCCUUCUGUGCAUGGCCCACCAACCAGAGCCACUAUACGACCACCAGUUCCAGGCGAACAAGCACAAAUCAAACCUGCUGCAACACUUAAUGCGACACCAGUGCAUCUCAACGAUCGAUUACCAGGUGCAACAGGCCAUAAAUCGACACCCAAUUCUUCUAAUCGCUAAAUUAUGAGUUUUCGUAAGAAUGGAGGAAUCAUAGCUGUUGAAAUUUGAAUAUAAUUUAGAUUAUACUCACCGAAUGGAUUAUGUAGGCGCCUUCGGAAGCAGGCAACAAAAACCUGGAAACCCCUGAAUUUGGAAACCCUUGUCCUUGUCCUUGUACUACCCCCUUUUGAAAACCCGGUCCACCACCCAUUCUCCGGCCAUUGGCAACGCCGGCGAGGAGUCCUAGUUGAUCGAGUACAUCCUCUCUUGUCAUCUCUUUGGAGCCUUGAAACACAUAAACCUUGGAGAUAUCAGCGUAACCCAAUUCAUGGACCUGAACCUGCGUCCCGAAGGAAACAAAACCCACCAAAGCAUUUUCCGGUAUGAAUUCAAGUGCUUGUUGUAAUGCCAAUUUGGCAUACUUUAAUUCCUCCUCAAUCAUACACGUGUCGAGGACGAAUACGUAGACGGGUUGAGGAGGGUUAAGACGGGUGUCGGGAUUGGGGACGGCGUAUUCGACGGUGGUGUAUUGGGGGUAGAGUUCUGCGGGGACAUUGGUUUCGGAAAUACCGGAGUAGUGGUGGGGGAAGUGGUUGCGUUGAAAGCAGAAUGGGCAGAUCCAAAUCAGGGCAGAGAAGUCGACACGGCAGAAAGGGUUGAGAACGGCGGAGCAGGUCUUGCAUCGGAGAGGCGCGUAAGGAUUGUUGGGUAUGUGUGGGUGAGGACGGAUCGGAGAAAUCGAAGCGGCGAUUGGAAUGACGCACUUGCUUGCUUCAACUUUUGUGCGAGGCCAGGCGUUCCAGGUCAUACGAACACCAUCGAUUCCCUCUGGAUCUGUGUUAGCCAUUUCCGUCGACAUCUUCAAUUCUCUCUACAAUCUCAACCUUUUUUUUCCUAAUGAUUGAUAAACUGAAUUCUGACGACCCCUUUAGGAAGAACAGAGAAGAGGGGUCAUCAAAUCAGGUGAAUCGAGGCUCUCAAAUGCACAUCGAUUUGUAGGAUGGUGUUUUUUCAAUUGAAUUUGAACCAAUGGAUGAAACAGCUUCUUUUGGUUCAUUUUGGAAAGAAUCAUAUCAUCUACACGAUUGAGAUAACAUGCCGGAUUGGUAGGAUGGGUGAGACAAUUAUCCAUGCCUCUCGUAAUAUUUUCAAUUCCAUUCAUGUUCAUCUGAUCGUUCAUUUGUUUAUAUUGAUUAAAGGUGACAUAUCAAUGACAAGUAAUCAUGGGUGGCCAAAGACGUAUCUGCAUGGAGGGGUAUUUCUAAAAUAUGGUUUUUUUAUUAAUUAAAAAUAUGCUUUGAUUUUUUUUUUUUUGUUAAAAUAGGCCGAUAUAUGCAUGUUUUACAAGAUAAAAUAAUAUAACUUAAAUAUUGAUAAAUUUGUAUGAUACAAAUAACUAUAUGGUUAUUAUUAAUUUCAAAAAAGCAUGAAUAUUAUAAACUUUACACGAAACACAGAGUGAACAAUUUUCAUUAAACUAAAUCGGACACGCUAUGGAAUUUCAAUUCAUUAAUAAUUGCGUUCCACAAACCAAACACAAUCAUUAAUUUAUUUUAAAGCAAAGCUCCUACAAAAAAAAAUUACUUAAGAAAAAAAAAUUGCAAUAUUUUGUUCCACCCAAUAACAUCGUUCUUAAUUUGUCCGUUUGCACUAAAAAUGUAAAUGUAAGGUAGUGUUUUUUUUUGUCUGCAGAUCUGCGUGGCAUCUUCUGUCCGUGCCGCUCAGACCACGCGCAAACAUUAGCAUUCGCAGACUGUUUGUUUUUUUGAAGACUGCAGACCUAAAAAUGUAUGUGCGCCCUCUUCUUAGCGCAGAUGUGGACCAGAGUCUUCUAACAUAUUCAAACAUCUUCUAGCCUAAAAAAACAUAUACAUCUUUAUUUUUUUAAUUUUUUUUUAAUUUAUAUUUUUUCCAACUUUAUUAAUGAUAAGCAAUUUGAAAAAAAAAAUUACAAAACUUAAAAAAAAAACGUUCGACGAUACAAACAUGAUAUUUUUGACAAAUUUAUAAAUAAAGAUUUAUUACAAUAAUAAUCGUUGAAGUUUUUUAUAUAAAUAUGAAAAAAAAAUUAUAAUAUAUUCUUAUAUUUUUUUGCCAAAUUUUGUAAAAUAUUAUUUAAUACAGUAUCAUCAAUUUCUCGAGAAAAUAUUUAUAGUACAUUUUUAAUGGAUUUAAUUAUAACUUUGAUCACUGAUUAUAAUGUUUAGUUAUAACUUUGCAACCAAAGUUAGUUUUUAUCAUAUAUAUAUAUAUAUAUUAAUUCAUACCAUUUUUAUUUUUAUUUUUUAUACAAUAAUACAUAAAAGUUGAUCUAAUUAUAACUUUGAUCACUAAUUAUAAUGUUUAGUUAUAACUUUGCAACCAAAGUUAGUUUUGAUCAAAUAUAUACAUUAAUUCAUACCAUUUUUAUUUUUAUUUUUUAUUCAAUAAUACAUAAAAGUUAAUCUAAUUAUAACUUUGAUCACUAAUUAUAAUGUUUAGUUAUUGUCACACCCCAAAACUGGAACGGCGGAAACGUUCGGGGGUGGAGGACGUCAUGUACGGUAUCACAACCAUGCAAAGUAGUAAACAAGCAACAACAUCAUCGAUUGCAUUAAUAAUAUAAUUCCAUAUAAGUGUGUUCUGACAUGCUAUAUAGACACCAAAAAUAUACAUCCAAAACAAAAGAGGAGUCCUGAACGAGCUUCAUCUUCUCAAAAACCUGGCUCCGGUACCUGUCUAUUGGUGCCUUGAGAAUACAAGUUAUUUUGAAAGGGAGUAUCAGCUUUAAAGCUAAGCUGGUGAGAUCAUAAGUAUAUUAGUGUCAAUGUUUGUAUGAAAGCAUUUGUAAGAUGUUUGUAAGAUGUAACGUAUAAGUUUUGUAAAGUUGGUAUUUGUUUGAACACUCCUAGAAAACCCUACGUUUCCUACUAAAAGUAGUCUUCUCCCAAGGCAUCUAGUAUCUGUGUGUGUGUCUCAUGUAAGAGUGUGUAUUUUCCCAAAUCCGACUAUCA